GCGAGUGACAGCGCCCGCGAGGGCGUCGCUCCCGUCCAUUGUCAUGCGUGCCGAGCGGCCCUUGCGAGAGGGGCGCGUCGGCGAAGCACGUUUCGGCGGAGGUGUUGCGGAUGGAAGCUAGCGAGCCGGGUAACCGGAGCGUUGGUCUGUGCGCGACCGCCGCCGGUCUUUUCGUCAACACAUGGGAAGGUCUGAAGUCUGACUUGCGAGAGAAAGAAUAGAAGCA
Molecule: unclassified non-coding RNA, 226 nt
Filed under: uncultured fungus
Lineage: Eukaryota; Fungi
Description: sequence contains ITS1
Source: RNAcentral